CAAGCGGUGGAGCAUGUGGUUUAAUUCGAUGCAACGCGAAGAACCUUACCUACUCUUGACAUCCAGAGAACUUUCCAGAGAUGGAUUGGUGCCUUCGGGAACUCCGAGACAGGUGCUGCAUGGCUGUCGUCAGCUCGUGUUGUGAAAUGUUGGGUUAAGUCCCGCAACGAGCGCAACCCUUAUCCUUUGUUGCCAGCGGUUCGGCCGGGAACUCAAAGGAGACUGCCAGUGAUAAACUGGAGGAAGGUGGGGAUGACGUCAAGUCAUCAUGGCCCUUACGAGUAGGGCUACACACGUGCUACAAUGGCAUAUACAAAGAGAAGCGACCUCGCGAGAGCAAGCGGACCUCAUAAAGUAUGUCGUAGUCCGGAUUGGAGUCAGCAACUCGACUCCAUGAAGUCGGAAUCGCUAGUAAUCGUAGAUCAGAAUGCUACGGUGAAUACGUUCCCGGGCCUUGUACACACC
RNAcentral lists this ribosomal RNA (465 nucleotides) under uncultured bacterium. RNAcentral describes it as "bacterial SSU rRNA". It matches the Rfam family "Bacterial small subunit ribosomal RNA", at positions 926 to 1391 of the family's 1533-position model. The record is from RNAcentral.